RNAcentral lists this non-coding RNA (21 nucleotides) under Caenorhabditis elegans. Lineage: Eukaryota; Metazoa; Nematoda; Chromadorea; Rhabditida; Rhabditidae. The record is from RNAcentral.
UAACAUAUAUUUCUGAUUAAA